This 433-nucleotide ribosomal RNA is filed under the name uncultured bacterium. Its description in RNAcentral is "partial 16S ribosomal RNA". It matches the Rfam family "Bacterial small subunit ribosomal RNA", at positions 29 to 507 of the family's 1533-position model. The record is from RNAcentral.
AACGAACGCUGGCGGCAUGCCUAACACAUGCAAGUCGAACGAGACCUUCGGGUCUAGUGGCGCACGGGUGCGUAACGCGUGGGAACCUGCCCUUAGGUUCGGAAUAACUCCCCGAAAGGGGUGCUAAUACCGGAUAAUGUCUUCGGACCAAAGAUUUAUCGCCUUUGGAUGGGCCCGCGUUGGAUUAGCUAGUUGGUAGGGUAAAAGCCUACCAAGGCGACGAUCCAUAGCUGGUCUGAGAGGAUGAUCAGCCACACUGGGACUGAGACACGGCCCAGACUCCUACGGGGGGCAGCAGUGGGGGAUAUUAGACAAUCGGCCAAAGCCUGAUCCAGCAAUGCCGCGUGAGUGAUGAAGGCCUUAGGGUUGUAAAGCUCUUUUACCCGGGAUGAUAAUGACAGUACCGGGAGAAUAAGCUCCGGCUAACUCCGUG